Molecule: long non-coding RNA, 490 nt
Organism: Peromyscus leucopus (white-footed mouse)
Lineage: Eukaryota; Metazoa; Chordata; Mammalia; Rodentia; Cricetidae
Exons: 2
Source: RefSeq, a predicted model, not a curated record
GCGAGAUCUCAGAUCCGCAGUCUUCGGCACUGCUCACUUCCGCUUCCGCAAAUAGGCACUUCCGCCCGUGCGUGGCGAGGUGACAAGGCAACUGCUGCUAUGUCCUGAUGACACUUGUCAGCCCAGAAACCAAACCGUCCAACAUGUUUUGGGUGGGUAUUUGUCAACUUGACACGAGCUAGAGUUAUCUGGAAAGAAAAACCUCAACUGAGAAAAUACUGCCAUCAGAUCGCCUGUAGACCAUGCUGUAGGAUAUUUUCUUGAUCAAUGAUUCCAUGUGGGAGGACCCAGCCUACUGGGGGCAGUGCCACUCCUGGUCAGAGAGUCUUCAGUUGUUCGAAUCUGAGCAAGCCACAGAAAACAAGCCAGUAAGUAGCAUUCCUCCAUGGCUUCUGAUUCUUUUCCUGCCUCCAGACUCCUGCCUUGGCUUCUUCCCUCAGUGGACUGUGACCCAGGAUAUAGAUGCUGAAUAAAUGCCUUUCCUCUCCAA